Molecule: long non-coding RNA, 2305 nt
Filed under: Bos grunniens (domestic yak)
Lineage: Eukaryota; Metazoa; Chordata; Mammalia; Artiodactyla; Bovidae
Description: lncRNA (ENSBGRG00000015780.1)
Source: RNAcentral
CCCAAAAGGAAUUCAUGGGUCUCCAACUUGAAAUAGCCUAUGAUUUUGUCAUUCUCUAAGUCCUCAGCAAGGAAGAGGGAUUAGGUUUGUUCUCUGUGGGCAAGACUCCUAAAGAGCAGAGUUCGGACGGGUUUAAAAUGAAGGAGGCCUAACUGGGAAGUGAUAAGCUUCCCAUCACUGAAAGUGUGUGCGUUCAUGCAUGCUCAGUCAUGUCCAUGGCCCUAUAGACUGUACUCCGCCAGGCUCCUCUGUCCAUGGGAUUUCCCAAUAAGAAUACUGGAGUGGAUUGCUAUUUCCUUCUCCAGGGGAUCUUCCCGCCCCAGGGAUUGAACCCUCGUCUCCUGCAUUGGUAAGCAGAUGCUUUUACCAGUGAGCCACGUGGAAGUCUGUGAGCACAGCUCUGAAAUGCGAUACAGAGGGGAGGGGAUUUGGACCAGUGACUAUGUAAGCCCCUUCCAGCGCUGAUGGGACAGACGAUAAGGAAGGCAAAGUCUCAUAGUGGGAAGAUGCGAAUAAAGGGGACCAGAGUCCACAUUUACUGAAGACCACCCACCGUGCCCCAGCCCUGCGCUUGGUACUUAACAUAUAUUGCUAAUUCUCAGGAAAAUAUUCUUCAAGAUUUAUAGUUGAGGAAACUCAGCUUCAGAGUAGUGACUCUGACACAGAUGGCACAGGUCAUCCAGGUGUCCUCUUCAGGAUUACUUCCCUAGUCCCCUGUGACCAAGUCCGUGUCUCCCUUCCAGCCUUAGGGGGUAGCACCACGUGGCAAAUUGCAUCAUACUUUUGCCAUACGACGUUAGACACCGCGCCAGCCAAUUCAGGAGCUCCCAGUGCGAGCCUCUGCAGACCCAGCGGGUCAGCAACCCUACCGGCCAUCGCUGGGCGUCCCGUCAGGCCGCACCUGGAGCCCUCGCCCCUUCCCGGUUGCGACGCUCUCUCUGCCCCGCCCAGUUCCUCCCCCGUCCUCCCCGCCGCCCUGCUGACUGGCAGUUGCCUGCACCAAUCCUAAGGCACCCCGAGUCGGGGGCGGGGCCUCACGCCAGAGUUGCCCUGUCAGUGCAGGUGGAGGCCCCCGAAGGGGCAAAGUGGCAGGAACCUCUUAAAGGGCGAGAGCGGCGGAGGGCGAGAACGCGGCCCGGCCCGGCCCGGCCAGGUCCCCGCCCUGUCCAGCCCAGAGAAGAGUUUAGUGGCUGAGGCUGAAAAUCCACAGCACCAACCGCAGAAGGAAGAGGGUGAGGGAGCCACAAGCUCCGGUCAACAGGAAACUCAGUUGGAAGAGGCUUCUCAAACAGCAGCUGAGGGAGAUAAUCAGUGUGAGCAGAAGCUGAAAACAUCUAAUGGAGACACUCCAACACAUGAAGACUUGACCAAGAACAAGGAGCGGACAUCAGAAAACAGGGGCCUGUCACGGCUGUUCUCCUCAUUUCUCAAAAGGCCUAAAUAGCACUGGGAGUUGUGAGAGAAAGAAGCUAGAAAUCAACAAGUUUUUGAAUAUGUGAGGCCUACAGCUUGCUUUCUCUUCUCUUACAGUUGAAUCAGUAUUUGCUUUCUAAUCAAUAUUUUUCUUCUCUAUUUUUCAUCUUUAUUUUUCUCUAUUAUCUAUUUUCCUCUCUUGUAAUAGUUACCUGCUGCUCUUAAAAAUGAUGAGUAUUCUAAAUCAUAUUUGUCAGAAGGAAAAAAGAUCUUAAAAAACUUCAAGUCAGAGACUUUGGCGAUUUAAUGUUGUAACACAAAAUCCUAAGGAUUUGUUUUGUGAUUAUUUUAACUGUAUACUUGUCAUUGCUGUUGCCAAGUCUGAUAAAUGAUCAGAAUUCUACAUUUCUGUUCUUAAUAUGCAUUCUGAGAAAUAUAAACAAUAAGACUGAAGAGCUGGGGAAUCUUAAUCCCAUCAUCUCUUGGGAUGUAGAGAACUUUGCAGAUAAUUUCUAUAAACCUUGUACCAAGAGAUUGAUGCUGUCAAAGAACAGUGUAUAAAUAAGAUCUUUUUAGGAGGGAUAAAACUGUGCUAUACAUAGUUUUGAGCUUUGAAUUUAAAAUAUGCAUUUCACUAAGCUGGCUUUCAGGGGGUCCUAUUUUAAGCUAAUUUCUCUAUGUCAUAACUUUAGCAAGUCAAGCAUUAAUAAUUUAUCCAGGGUGUAUAGGUAAGAUAUUUUUGUGCUUUAAUGGAAAGUCUCAUGUUUAAUGGAUGAGAGCACUGUCUGUUGGUGGUUAAAUACCUAAAGAUACUAACUCUGUCACCCUUGACCUGAUUGAGGGUUUUGCCUUCAGUAAUGCAUUCUGUUUGUAAGAGACCCCCUUUGCCAUC